GAGUCCCAUGUCUCCCAGGAAUAGGUUUGUCUCAGUACCCCUGCUGGGUUCCGCUAUUGCCUCUGGAAUCAGCCCAUGAGAAGUGCAGUCUGGUGCCCACACAGCUACAGUGAUGGAUUUCAGAGCACAGCAGCUGGAGCCGUUGGUCAAUUUCAUUGCCUGUAGUUGGAGGUCUGCGAAGAGCAUUGAUUCUCAUGGGUACCACAAAUACCUACACUGCCAGACGGCUAUAAGGAUAAGAGAUGAAUGUAUGGUCAUCCCUGGGAAUCUCAGUUCCAGGUUGUCUUUUCGGCUCCUCAAUACCCAACCCUUUUGUAGAGCCUCCUCCUCCAGACCAGUGCUUUUCAAACUUUAAUGUGCGGAAGAACCACUGAAAACUGUUGUUAGAAUGCAGGUUCUGAUUCAGUAGGUCCACAUGAACCUGCGAUUCUGCAUUUUAAUGAACCUCAAUUGAUGCUGUUGUUGCUGCUCUGAGGACCAUGCCAACAGGCCCCGAAUGUCUGCCAUAUGGAAGCUCAGAAUUGUCAACACUCCCUCUGCUUUUCCUUUGUCUUCCCUCAGAACACCUGCUCACCAUGACCUGUACAUCCAGGAACAUGCUGAAUGUUCAUUUGGAAAGACUGAAGCUUCCAGGACCGUCACUUCUGGUGUCACUAUUACGUGCAGCCCUCAGCCAGGUUAAGGUUUGAUGAUGGAUCCACAAAGCAAACUUCUGGCUGAAGACACAUGGCCGGAGUUUAUCCAAAGCCCUGACGGUUGCCAGCCAUUCUUCCUGAGAAGCAGACAUGUUUGUUUCCCUUGCCAACAACUUUGUAUGGAGAUAAAUUACAGGAUGUUUCCCACGGUCAUGGCCCCAUAA
This is a long non-coding RNA of Homo sapiens (human), 859 nucleotides long. The record is from Ensembl. Lineage: Eukaryota; Metazoa; Chordata; Mammalia; Primates; Hominidae.